AUGCCCCCCCCCGCCCGCCCCCUCCGCAGCGCCGCCCUCCUCCUCUCCAUCGCCCUCCUGGCCCAGAGCCGCCCGCAGCCCCCCCCCCAAAAACCUCCAUCAUCCGCGAGGGGGGGGGAACCUUGGGAGGACCUGGAGCCCCCCGGCUUGGGGGACAACGUGAAGGACGUGGGCACGAAGCGAAGCCGCGGCGGAUCCCCGACGGAAACGUGGAAAGAAUUGGAAGAAUUGGGCAAACUUCGCGCUGAGGCCAAAAAAAGGGAAAGGGAACGGGAAAGGGAACGGGGCCGGGGCUGGGCGAGUGCACGGCAGCUGCGGCAGCAGCAAAGCCUGGAGCUGAAGCUGCUGGAACGGCGCUACCAGGAGCUGAUGGAGAGCCGGCGGCAGGCGCAGGCUGCGAGAAAAGCGGCCGCCGAGGAGGAGAGGCUGGCGGAUAUGGCCUCGGAUCUCCUCCUGCGGUACCUCCUGCACGGCCCCGGAGCCGAGGGGAAGCGGUCAGAGGAGGAGGAAGAGGAGGAGGAGGAAGGGGGGGAGAGGGAGAGGAAGGGGGCGUGGGUGGGUAGGGGGUACACGGCAGAGAGGGGCUUCCCUGAGGAGAAGGGGUUUGCGAUGGGGAAGGCAUCAAUGGGUAAAGAGUUGUCAAUGGGCAACGGCUUAUCAAUGGGCAACGCGUUAUCAAUGGGAAAGGAAUUCCCCAUUGAGAAGGAAUUUUCAAUGGGGAAGGGGUCCUCGGUGAGCAAGAAGUUCUCGGCGGGUAACGGGUUAUCAAUGGGAAAGGAGUUCUCCAUCGAUAAGGAAUUCUCAAUGGGGAAGGGAAAGGAAUUCCCACGGGGCAACGCCUUAUCAAUGGGGAAAGGCUUCCCUAUGGACAAUGAGAUCCCGAUGGACAACUGGGCCCCGAUGGACAAUGAGGUGUUUGUGGGGAAGAAGAUCCCAACCGGGAAGAAGAUCCUUGCGGGGAAGAAGAUCCCACCGGACGCCACCAGAUUCCCCACGGCCAGCCAGCUCCCCACGGAUGAGGGCCCCAUGGCCAAUCAGAUCCCCGGGGACGACGACCUGGUGCCCAUCCGUGGCCGCGUCCCCCACCCGCCACGCCUGGACCCCUCGCUGUCUCUCAGCAUCCCCCCCCCCGACGACGACCCGACAUCCAAGUCCGCCCCGCUCCCGCUGGCCGAGGCUCUGGCGGCGGCGCUGCCAGCGGCUCCCGACGACGCCGGCGACGCCGGUUUGGAUCCCGGCACCAUCGACCAGCUGAUCGAGCUGUCGAGCCGCCUGCACCUCCCGGCAGACGACGUGGUGGACAUCAUCCAUGACGUGGAACAGAAGCGGCAGGAGGAGGCGGCGGCGGCGGCGGCGUUGCCCGGUGAUGACGUCAUCGGUGAUGAUGACGUCACCGACGAUGAGGAGGAGGAGGAGGAGGAGGAAGAGGGAGGGGAUGAAGCUCUGCCCCCGCCGCCCCUCCCCGCCCCCCGGCCCAGGACGUUCCGGACCCCGGCGAUGCAGUGGGAGGGGAGGAGGUGGUGA
RNAcentral lists this long non-coding RNA (1524 nucleotides) under Phasianus colchicus (ring-necked pheasant). RNAcentral's name for it is "lncRNA (ENSPCLG00000013733.1)". The record is from RNAcentral. Lineage: Eukaryota; Metazoa; Chordata; Aves; Galliformes; Phasianidae.